GGUCUACUGGCGCAAUGGUAGCGUAUCAGCCUUCUAUGCAACCGUAUAGGGGCGAGCUGAGGGUUGCGGGUUCGAGCCCCGCGUGGACCU
RNAcentral lists this transfer RNA (90 nucleotides) under Malassezia caprae. Its description in RNAcentral is "tRNA-Arg". It matches the Rfam family "tRNA". Rfam says of the family: Transfer RNA (tRNA) molecules are approximately 80 nucleotides in length. Their secondary structure includes four short double-helical elements and three loops (D, anti-codon, and T loops). Further hydrogen bonds mediate the characteristic L-shaped molecular structure. tRNAs have two regions of fundamental functional importance: the anti-codon, which is responsible for specific mRNA codon recognition, and the 3' end, to which the tRNAs corresponding amino acid is attached (by aminoacyl-tRNA synthetases). tRNAs cope with the degeneracy of the genetic code in two manners: having more than one tRNA (with a specific anti-codon) for a particular amino acid; and 'wobble' base-pairing, i.e. permitting non-standard base-pairing at the 3rd anti-codon position. The record is from RNAcentral. Lineage: Eukaryota; Fungi; Basidiomycota; Malasseziomycetes; Malasseziales; Malasseziaceae.